GUUGGCGGCGUGGAUUAGGCAUGCAAGUCGCACGAGUACACCAAUUAGCUUGCUAAGAGGUGGAUAGUGACGCAAGGGAGAGUAACGCGUGGUUACUUGCCCUCGAGACCGGGAUAGUGUUGGGAAACUGGCAGUAAUACCGGAUAACAUCUUCGGAUCAAAUGGUGUGAUUCCGCUCGAGGAUAGGACCGCGUACUAUUAGCUUGUUGGUGAGGUAACGGCUCACCAAGGCUGCGAUGGUUACCGGGUGUGAGAGCAUGGCCCGGCUCACUGGGACUGAGACACUGCCCAGACACCUACGGGUGGCUGCAGUCGAGAAUCUUCGGCAAUGGACGAAAGUCUGACCGAGCGACGCCGCGUGCGGGAUGAAGGCCCUCGGGUUGUAAACCGCUGUCAGUAGUUAGGAAGUCCAUGAGGGUUAUCUCUCAUGGUUGACCGAUCUUCAGAGGAAGGACGGGCUAAGU
This 464-nucleotide ribosomal RNA is filed under the name uncultured Planctomycetaceae bacterium. RNAcentral describes it as "bacterial SSU rRNA". It matches the Rfam family "Bacterial small subunit ribosomal RNA", at positions 35 to 502 of the family's 1533-position model. The record is from RNAcentral. Lineage: Bacteria; Pseudomonadati; Planctomycetota; Planctomycetia; Planctomycetales; Planctomycetaceae.